This is a long non-coding RNA of Acanthaster planci (crown-of-thorns starfish), 490 nucleotides long. The record is from RefSeq and is a predicted model, not a curated record. Lineage: Eukaryota; Metazoa; Echinodermata; Asteroidea; Valvatida; Acanthasteridae.
UAAUUAAUGAAUCUUAGUUAAUGCAUUACUGGGUCAUUGCAACCACCAAAAUCAAUCGCAAAUGUGGCGUCAAAAGUAGUUCUUGACGAGAGGAGAUUUAUAUGCAUUUGGCGAUUUCAUGUUUCUUUAAACUGUUGGCUGUCAUUCGUUAUUUAAAAUCUAACAUGCAUAACCGUAGAAUGGACGCUUAAUGCACAUUUUUCGUGGCCAUUUCUUUCCAGGCAUGCAAGCAAACAGUGACGAAGCAAAAGGGUUGCAGUGUUAAGCGCAAGGACACAGCGGAAACUGCAUGUGCAAAGAAAAUAAAGACAGCGAAGGUUGUGGUCCAGGAGAAAAAUGCAACUAAGGCAAAGAAGAAGGAGGCUGCAAGAGUUGUAUGCAGAGGGGCCGGGCCAUUGGAACCACUCUGCGACAUAACAAAUACGGUAUGGAAUUUAGUUGCACCAAGACUUGAUGAGGAAAUCCCCAUGGAGGUGGAACCCCAAGACCA